GAUGAACGCUAGCGGCAGGCCUAACACAUGCAAGUCGAGGGGUAACAGGAAAGCUUGCUUUUGCUGACGACCGGCGCACGGGUGCGUAACGCGUAUGCAACCUACCUCAUACAGGAGAAUAGCCCUUGGAAACGAGGAUUAAUACUCCAUGGUAUCAUUCUUUCGCAUGUUAGAAUGAUUAAAGAAUUUCGGUAUGAGAUGGGCAUGCGUCCCAUUAGCUUGUGGUGAGGUAACGGCUCACCAAGGCAACGAUGGGUAGGGGGCCUGAGAGGGUGGUCCCCCANACUGGUACUGGAGACACGGACCAGGACUCCUACGGAGCAGCAGUGAGGAAUAUUGGCAA
This 343-nucleotide ribosomal RNA is filed under the name uncultured bacterium. RNAcentral describes it as "bacterial SSU rRNA". It matches the Rfam family "Bacterial small subunit ribosomal RNA", at positions 28 to 370 of the family's 1533-position model. The record is from RNAcentral.